Molecule: transfer RNA, 77 nt
Filed under: Sulfitobacter sp. SK012
Lineage: Bacteria; Pseudomonadati; Pseudomonadota; Alphaproteobacteria; Rhodobacterales; Roseobacteraceae
Description: tRNA-Arg
Rfam family: tRNA
About the family: Transfer RNA (tRNA) molecules are approximately 80 nucleotides in length. Their secondary structure includes four short double-helical elements and three loops (D, anti-codon, and T loops).
Source: RNAcentral
GGCCCGGUAGCUCAGCUGGAUAGAGCAGUUGCCUUCUAAGCAUCUGGCCGGGGGUUCGAAUCCUCCCCGGGUCGCCA